GCUAGUAUUACCUCAUUAGCCACCAUUUUCGAGAUGCGGCGUGCCCAAGGCCCUGCCGCCGUGCUCGCCAUCGGCACCGCGAACCCGGUGAACUGCAUGUCCCAGGACGAGUUCCUGGACUUGUACUUCCGUGCCACACAGAGCGAGCAUCUCACCAGCCUCAAGGAUGAUUUCAGGAGACUUUAUGGGAAACUUAGCGUCCAGAAGCGCUACUUCCACCACACUGAGGAGGUGCUGAGUGCCCACCUCGAAAUCAUCGAUCCCUCGUCGCCGUCCCUAGAUACCAGACUGGAGAUCGUCAGGGAUGCCGUCCCAGAGCUUGCUGCAAAAGCCUCCGUCAACGCCAUCACCGAGUGGGGCCGUCCAGCAACCGACAUCACCCACCUCGUCGUCACCACCAACUCCGGCGCCCAUGUACCAGGCGUUGACUUCCGCCUCAUGGGGCUCCUCGGCCUGAGGCCGUCGGUCCGUCGCAGCAUGCUCUACCUCAACGGCUGCUUCGCCGGCUCUGCAGCGUUGCGCCUCGCCAAGGACCUCGCCGAGAACAACCGUGGCGCCCGCGUCCUUGUGGUCUGCGCUGAGCUCACCAUCAUGCUGCUCAGAGGCCCCAAAGAGGACUGCUACCAGACAAUCGUCGACCACGGGCAUUUCGGCGACGGUGCGGGCGCCGUCAUCGUCGGCGCCGACCCCACGACUAGCCCCGCCGAGCGCCCGUUGUUUCAUAUGGUAGCCGCCACACAGACGGUGAUACCAGAGUCGGAUCAUGCCAUCAACCUGCGCCUGACGGAAGACGGACUCCGGGGCUACCUCGCCCCGGGAAAGGAGGUGCCGGUGCUCAUCGGGGACAACAUCCAGCAGUGCCUCCUGGACUCGUUUGAACCGCUGGGCGUCCAGGUCAAGUGGAACGACCUCUUCUGGGCGAUGCACCCCGGGUCGGUCCCGAUCUUGGACCGGAUCGAUGAGGCGCUCCAGCUUGAGCCGGAGAAGCUGGCGCCAAGCCGCAUGGUGCUGAGAGAGUACGGCAACAUGUUUGGCGUGUCCGUCAUCUUCGUGCUCGAUGAGCUACGCCGGCGUAGGGAGAUGCAAGGGGCAGAGGCAACACCUGGCUGGGGUGUGAUGAUGGCAUGUGGGCCCGGGCUGACUAUCGAGACCAUGAUACUGCACGCAACCUAG
RNAcentral lists this ribosomal RNA (1173 nucleotides) under Triticum aestivum (bread wheat). RNAcentral describes it as "partial small subunit ribosomal RNA". Lineage: Eukaryota; Viridiplantae; Streptophyta; Magnoliopsida; Poales; Poaceae. The record is from RNAcentral.